This 496-nucleotide ribosomal RNA is filed under the name bacterium PMB17. RNAcentral's name for it is "bacterial SSU rRNA". It matches the Rfam family "Bacterial small subunit ribosomal RNA", at positions 13 to 502 of the family's 1533-position model. The record is from RNAcentral.
UUGAUCCUGGCUCAGAUUGAACGCUGGCGGCAUGCCUUACACAUGCAAGUCGAACGGCAGCACGGGGGCAACCCUGGUGGCGAGUGGCGAACGGGUGAGUAAUACAUCGGAACGUGUCCUGUAGUGGGGGAUAGCCCGGCGAAAGCCGGAUUAAUACCGCAUACGAUCUACGGAAGAAAGCGGGGGAUCGCAAGACCUCGCGCUAUAGGGGCGGCCGAUGGCAGAUUAGCUAGUUGGUGGGGUAAAGGCCUACCAAGGCGACGAUCUGUAGCUGGUCUGAGAGUGACGACCAGCCACACUGGGACUGAGACACGGCCCAGACUCCUACGGGAGGCAGCAGUGGGGAAUUUUGGACAAUGGGGGAAACCCUGAUCCAGCAAUGCCGCGUGUGUGAAGAAGGCCUUCGGGUUGUAAAGCACUUUUGUCCGGAAAGAAAACUUCUGCCCUAAUACGGUGGGAAGGAUGACGGUACCGGAAGAAUAAGCACCGGCAAACU